GGUGGUGGUAUGGGAGGUGGUUCUAGGGCCGAUGAGGUUGAUAAUUGGGGCAGUGCUAAGAAACCGCUUCCUACUAGAUCUACAUUUGGUUCAGGGUUUCGUGAUUCCGGGCCUGAGUCUGAUCGGUGGAGAAGAGGAGGGGUUCGUGAACCUGAGCGGGAGAGGCCUAGAUUGAUUUUAGAACCGCCGAAGGCUGAUGUAGCUGCUAAUGAGACGCCUAAAACAAGUAGGCCAAAUCCGUUUGGGGCAGCGAGGCCGAGAGAACAGGUGUUGGC
This 275-nucleotide unclassified non-coding RNA is filed under the name Hevea brasiliensis (rubber tree). The record is from RNAcentral. Lineage: Eukaryota; Viridiplantae; Streptophyta; Magnoliopsida; Malpighiales; Euphorbiaceae.